AAAUAAAUCAGUUCUCAUCGCAUUAUCAAAUUUGACUACUUAUUUUGGGCCACAUAUACACCAAUUAUCUGUGUGGAAACAAUAAAAAUCAUAGUAUAGGAGUAUACGGUUCUCUUUGUGAAUUUCCAUUCAAAAUAAUUCUUCUUUAGAAGCUGUCAAACUUGCAUUUCCAAAUGCAAAUGACGAUGUCAUUAAAGAUGGCAUAAGUGCUUGGCUGGAUACUGCAAACACGCGGCUAAAGAGAGAAGCAAGUGGAAAAGGUCCAAAAAGGGCGCCAUUCCAGCCAAUAGUUAUUGACGAAACCCUGAACAGUGGCGAAGAAUCCGAUCCAUAAUUAUUUACUUAUUUUAUUCAGCAGUAAUUAUUCUAAUAAAUAAAGUAGAGAUCAGUAAUUUAAUAAAAACACAAGCUUAAUUUGUAAUUGAUACAUUUUUUCAAUAAAUAAAGGUAUGUAAUCAUUCGAUUUGAAGGUUUCUUUGAGCUAAUAUCAAUUAAUUUUAAGGGAAGUGUAACUCUUGCUUAUAAAAUUUUGACAAAGAAGACUUCAAAACAUAAUCUUUUGCUUCAAAA
This is a long non-coding RNA of Nasonia vitripennis (jewel wasp), 570 nucleotides long. RefSeq lists it as uncharacterized. The transcript has 3 exons. NCBI's taxonomy places the organism in Eukaryota, Metazoa, Arthropoda, Insecta, Hymenoptera, Pteromalidae. The record is from RefSeq and is a predicted model, not a curated record.